UGAAAGGCAUGGAAAAGAACGAGUAGCUUUAAUCGAACUGACAGAGAGUAGCCGGUUGCUGAGAGGCGCAAGGGAUAUUAAAGUGAAUACAUCUUGGAGCUGCGUACCGAAAUUUUAGUAGGCUACGACGGGGUUGCAUCCGUAAUCAUUGCAAAAGUAUCGCUAUGGCUGUACUUAUUGAGGAGGGCUGUGUGAAUAGCUCUCGAAAAAAGGUGGUAACACGUUCAUGAACGUCCUUAGG
RNAcentral lists this non-coding RNA (241 nucleotides) under Lysinibacillus sphaericus. RNAcentral describes it as "Lysinibacillus sp. T-box sequence". It matches the Rfam family "T-box leader". Rfam says of the family: Uncharged tRNA acts as the effector for transcription antitermination of genes in the T-box leader family. T-boxes are found upstream of many aminoacyl-tRNA synthetase genes and some amino acid biosynthetic genes usually in Gram-positive bacteria. The anticodon of a specific tRNA base pairs to a specifier sequence within the T-box motif, and the NCCA acceptor tail of the tRNA base pairs to a conserved bulge in the T-box antiterminator hairpin. Lineage: Bacteria; Bacillati; Bacillota; Bacilli; Caryophanales; Bacillaceae. The record is from RNAcentral.